GAUGAACGCUGGCGGCGUGCCUAAUACAUGCAAGUCGAGCGAACAGACGAGGAGCUUGCUCCUCUGACGUUAGCGGCGGACGGGUGAGUAACACGUGGAUAACCUACCUAUAAGACUGGGAUAACUUCGGGAAACCGGAGCUAAUACCGGAUAAUAUAUUGAACCGCAUGGUUCAAUAGUGAAAGACGGUUUUGCUGUCACUUAUAGAUGGAUCCGCGCCGCAUUAGCUAGUUGGUAAGGUAACGGCUUACCAAGGCAACGAUGCGUAGCCGACCUGAGAGGGUGAUCGGCCACACUGGAACUGAGACACGGUCCAGACUCCUACGGGAGGCAGCAGUAGGGAAUCUUCCGCAGUGGGCGAAAGCCUGACGGAGCAACGCCGCGUGAGUGAUGAAGGUCUUCGGAUCGUAAAACUCUGUUAUUAGGGAAGAACAAAUGUGUAAGUAACUAUGCACGUCUUGACGGUACCUAUCAGAAAGCCACGGCUAACUACGUG
Molecule: ribosomal RNA, 496 nt
Filed under: uncultured bacterium
Lineage: Bacteria
Description: partial 16S ribosomal RNA
Rfam family: Bacterial small subunit ribosomal RNA
Source: RNAcentral